AGCCAUCAAUACAUUUUUUGCUAAGAAUGGUUAUCGAUUAAUGGAUUCUAGUAUGUAUACUCAACCCAUUCAGACUCCAACCCAGUAUCCCUCGCCAGUCUUCAUGCAGCCAGUGUACAAUCCACAUCAGCAGUACUCAGUGUAUAGUAUUGUGCCCCCGUCUUGGUCUCCAAGUCCUGCACCGUACUUUGAAACACCACUGGCUCCCUUUCCCAAUGGUAGCUUUGUGAAUGGCUUUAGUUCACCGGGAUCUUAUAAAACAAAUGCUGCUGCUAUGAAUAUGGGCCGACCAUUCCAAAAAAAUCGUGUGAAGCCUCAUUUUAGGUCAUCUAGUGGUUCAGAACACUCAACAGAUGGAUCUGUGUCAUUGGGGGAUGGACCGUUGAGCAGAUC
This 393-nucleotide long non-coding RNA is filed under the name Rattus norvegicus (Norway rat). Its description in RNAcentral is "long non-coding RNA NONRATT003606". The record is from RNAcentral. Lineage: Eukaryota; Metazoa; Chordata; Mammalia; Rodentia; Muridae.